Molecule: ribosomal RNA, 520 nt
Filed under: uncultured Ambispora
Lineage: Eukaryota; Fungi; Glomeromycota; Glomeromycetes; Archaeosporales; Ambisporaceae
Description: SSU rRNA
Rfam family: Eukaryotic small subunit ribosomal RNA
Source: RNAcentral
AGCAGCCGCGGUAAUUCCAGCUCCAAUAGCGUAUAUUAAAGUUGUUGCAGUUAAAAGCUCGUAGUUGAAUUUUGGGUCUGGCCGGGCGGUCCGCCCUCUGGGUGAGCACUGUUCCGACGCCGGGCCUAUCCUUCUGGUGAGUCGGCAUGUCCUUUAUUGGGUGUGCCGGGGAACCAGGACCAUUACCUUGAAAAAUUAGAGUGUUCAAAGCAGGCGUAUGCUCGGAUACAUUAGCAUGGAAUAAUGAAAUAGGACGCGUGGUGCUAUUUUGUUGGUUUCUAGAACCGCCGUAAUGAUUAAUAGGGAUAGUUGGGGGCAUUAGUAUUCAAUUGUCAGAGGUGAAAUUCUUGGAUUUAUUGAAGACUAACUUCUGCGAAAGCAUUUGCCAAGGAUGUUUUCAUUAAUCAAGAACGAAAGUUAGGGGAUCGAAGACGAUCAGAUACCGUCGUAGUCUUAACCAUAAACUAUGCCGACUAGGAAUCGGGCGAUGUUAUUCUCAUGACUCGCCCGGCGCCUUAUA